GGAGACAACAUCUACCUGUGGUACUACAGAGGUAACUCAGAGUACGAUGUUCCCAUUGUGAACCUUCAUGUCUCUAUAGAUGCAAGGGAGGAAGCCCUAAUGUUCGCACUUGGAUGGGAGAGACUGGCCUGUGAUCUGAACCGGAAAGCUAGAGGAAAAUGGAUCUACCUGUGGGUGAAGAGGGAGAGACCAACCUACAUCUGUGACAUCGCUGCCAAUGCUGACUAUGAUGGAGACGCUGACUACUUCCGGAACGGCUACAUCAGAGUGGACGAAGAUACCAACAGAGGUGCAGAAGGAUCCUUUGUCUUCAUCUGGUACCGUCAGACCAAUAACUCUCAAAGAGCCAUCACAGAUCUGCAGCUCUCCACUAACGAUAUAGAGAAGAUGUUGUUUCCCUAUAUGGGCUUUACAAGGGUAACUACUGAUCUAAGCAAGGGGGCAGGAGGAAGUUACUGGGAACAACGGUAAUACACUGUACCUGACCUUCAGUUCGUUUUAGUAACAGAGCUGGGAAUGCUCACUGGGCAGAAACCAAAGAGUCUAUGGUGUUCCUGUUUAACCAGUUUGAUUGUUUUUCUUUCCUUGCUGAAAUGAUUUGACUCCAACAAUGAUCAUUGAUCCUACAGUCAAUCUGUUCGAUUAGCUCUGUCUCACUGUAUUCUGAUGAUUGUCACUGUUUCAAUAAAGUCUGUUCAGAAUAUGAAA
Astatotilapia calliptera (eastern happy) is the source of this 708-nucleotide long non-coding RNA. Lineage: Eukaryota; Metazoa; Chordata; Actinopteri; Cichliformes; Cichlidae. The record is from Ensembl.